RNAcentral lists this ribosomal RNA (468 nucleotides) under uncultured bacterium. RNAcentral's name for it is "partial 16S ribosomal RNA". It matches the Rfam family "Bacterial small subunit ribosomal RNA", at positions 28 to 507 of the family's 1533-position model. The record is from RNAcentral.
GACGAACGCUGGCGGCGUGCUUAACACAUGCAAGUCGAACGGAAAGGCCCUGCUUUUGUGGGGUGCUCGAGUGGCGAACGGGUGAGUAACACGUGAGUAACCUGCCCUUGACUUUGGGAUAACUUCAGGAAACUGGGGCGAAUACCGGAUAGGAGCUCCUGCUGCACGGUGGGGGUUGGAAAGUUUCGGCGGUUGGGGAUGGACUCGCGGCUUAUCAGCUUGUUGGUGGGGUAGUGGCUUACCAAGGCUUUGACGGGUAGCCGGCCUGAGAGGGUGACCGGCCACAUUGGGACUGAGAUACGGCCCAGACUCCUACGGGAGGCAGCGGUGGGAAAUAUUGCACAAUGGGCGGACGCCUGAUGCAGCAACGCCGCGUGCGGGAUGACGGCCUUCGGGUUGUAAACCGCUUUCGCCUGUGACGAAGCGUGAGUGACGGUACUGGGUAAAGAAGCACCGGCUAACUACGUG